UGCAGUCGAGCGGUAACAGAAAGAAAGCUUGCUUUCUUUGCUGACGAGCGGCGGACGGGUGAGUAAUGCCUGGGAAUAUGCCUUAGUGUGGGGGAUAACUAUUGGAAACGAUAGCUAAUACCGCAUAACGUCUUCGGACCAAAGAGGGGGACCUUCGGGCCUCUCGCGCUAAGAUUAGCCCAGGUGGGAUUAGCUAGUUGGUGAGGUAAAGGCUCACCAAGGCAACGAUCCCUAGCUGGUCUGAGAGGAUGAUCAGCCACACUGGAACUGAGACACGGUCCAGACUCCUACGGGAGGCAGCAGUGGGGAAUAUUGCACAAUGGGGGAAACCCUGAUGCAGCCAUGCCGCGUGUAUGAAGAAGGCCUUCGGGUUGUAAAGUACUUUCAGUCGUGAGGAAGGUGUUGCAGUUAAUAGCUGCAGCAUUUGACGUUAGCGACAGAAGAAGCACCGGCUAACUCCGUGCCAGCAGCCGCGGUAAUACGGAGGGUGCGAGCGUUAAUCGGAAUUACUGGGCGUAAAGCGCAUGCAGGCGGUCUGUUAAGCAAGAUGUGAAAGCCCGGGGCUCAACCUCGGAACCGCAUUUUGAACUGGCAGACUAGAGUCUUGUAGAGGGGGGUAGAAUUUCAGGUGUAGCGGUGAAAUGCGUAGAGAUCUGAAGGAAUACCGGUGGCGAAGGCGGCCCCCUGGACAAAGACUGACGCUCAGAUGCGAAAGCGUGGGGAGCAAACAGGAUUAGAUACCCUGGUAGUCCACGCCGUAAACGAUGUCUACUUGAAGGUUGUGGCCUUGAGCCGUGGCUUUCGGAGCUAACGCGUUAAGUAGACCGCCUGGGGAGUACGGUCGCAGAUUAUACUCAAAUGAUGACGGGGCCGCACAGCGUGGAGCAUGUGAUUAUCGAUUGCAGUCGAGUGCAGUCGAGUGCAGUCGAGUGCAGUCGAGUA
RNAcentral lists this ribosomal RNA (942 nucleotides) under uncultured Photobacterium sp. RNAcentral describes it as "bacterial SSU rRNA". It matches the Rfam family "Bacterial small subunit ribosomal RNA", at positions 56 to 997 of the family's 1533-position model. Lineage: Bacteria; Pseudomonadati; Pseudomonadota; Gammaproteobacteria; Vibrionales; Vibrionaceae. The record is from RNAcentral.